CCUACGGGAGGCAGCAGUGAGGAAUAUUGGUCAAUGGACGAGAGUCUGAACCAGCCAAGUAGCGUGAAGGAUGACUGCCCUAUGGGUUGUAAACUUCUUUUAUAUGGGAAUAAAACGUUCCACGUGUGGGAUUUUGUAUGUACCAUAUGAAUAAGGAUCGGCUAACUCCGUGCCAGCAGCCGCGGUAAUACGGAGGAUCCGAGCGUUAUCCGGAUUUAUUGGGUUUAAAGGGAGCGUAGGUAGAUUGUUAAGUCAGUUGUGAAAGUUUGCGGCUCAACCGUAAAAUUGCAGUUGAAACUGGCAGUCUUGAGUACAGUAGAGGUGGGCGGAAUUCGUGGUGUAGCGGUGAAAUGCUUAGAUAUCACGAAGAACUCCGAUUGCGAAGGCAGUUCACUGGACUGCAACUGACACUGAGGCUCGAAAGUGUGGGUAUCAAACAGGAUUAGAUACCCCUGUAGUC
RNAcentral lists this ribosomal RNA (460 nucleotides) under uncultured bacterium. RNAcentral's name for it is "partial 16S ribosomal RNA". It matches the Rfam family "Bacterial small subunit ribosomal RNA", at positions 338 to 795 of the family's 1533-position model. The record is from RNAcentral.